Cyprinus carpio (common carp) is the source of this 2827-nucleotide long non-coding RNA. Lineage: Eukaryota; Metazoa; Chordata; Actinopteri; Cypriniformes; Cyprinidae. The record is from Ensembl.
AUGUUUCAGCCCAUCAUUUUAUUCAUCCUCAUUCUAGUGUUGUUCUCCUCACUCUCUUAUGCCACCAUUUUUAAACUUGUAUUUCUUUUUACACUCUUUUUUGUCCUGUGAUAACUAUCCGUCCACUCAUUAGCAUAGUCUCGCCCUUUGUUUUGUUUGUUUGUCAAUGUUGUGUAUGUCACCAUGGUUGAAGAAUGACAGGACGGUCACUUUCCAAGCACAGAAGUCUGCAAAACCUUAAUUUCCAAAAAGCUGGAGACUGUUUUAUCCAAGUCAUUCAUCGCAUAUGUAUGGCUGCCUUUGGAAAGUACAUCAUCAAGACAAGAGGUUUAUUUUUUUGCAACUAAAAACUAUUACACAUCAUAAGAAAACACUGAGCCACUCGAAACUACAUUGCCCAGAAGACAUUUCUUUCAUUGAGGACUAUGACUAUCAGGCACACUGAUGCUUGCUUUGCCACCAAAGGCUUGCAAUGAAAUAUGCAACUGCAGUUUACUACUAAGGGGCACAUUACCAUAUUACCCAGAGUGCCUGCCACUGCACUCUGAAGAUACAGUACAUUGGCUGGAAUGAUUACCUGUCAGAACCAUGUAAAGAGGUAUUGGUGGACUUGCCAAUGUGGUCACUUAAGUGACCUUUCAGGAAUUGCAGCGUAAGAUUCUGAGCACAGGCACACAUACACAGAAGAAUGGCUGCAUUGGAAUUGCACUGUGGGCGGGAGCCUGGGAGUUGUGUGUGGGUUGGAGACAGAGCUGACCUGCUUGACAGUUUUGACUCCGAGAUGCAGGAAUGGGAAGAUCAGCUACAGGACAUGCAGAGGAAGAUUGAAGAGUUGUAUAAUGAGGUCAAAGCACGAAGAGAAGCCAGUGAGAGCAGCACAAACAAUAAAAACCUGGACAUUACUUUGCUUCCUGUCAACUCUCAAUAUAGCCACCAGGCCAAUGGUUAUCACGAACCUCAUGGUCACCCCAACAACAGCCUCCCAUUUCAUCAAUGCAGUGAAAUAAAAGCAGAUCCUUCAGUUAUGCAAAGCCUUGGGUUUCACCACCCCAGUGAAUACUGUAAUGGCUCCAACAAUUACAUGCUUAAUUCCCUGAGCAACGGCAGCCAUUACCCUGCCAGUCGUCAUGAUCUUGAAAGGCAAGAUGCCACUGUACACAUACUCAAUGGAUACCUCCAACAGGGCCCGCAUUUUAGGAGGAACCCAGGGAAUCUUGGAGCUCCAAAUAGAGUGAGUACCUCUUUCACUGUUGAUAAAUAUCUUCUCAAAUUGGACUCUUAUACCUCAAGGAUAUGGCUUUACACUUUUUUCACCAUAUUCCUUCAUAUCUCCCUCUUUUUUCAGAACCCCAAGGUAUAUCCAGUUAAACACAGUUAUCAAGACAGCAUGAAGACCAGCCUGGUGACAAACAGGACUGCCUUAUGUGUGGUUCUGGAUGAGACUGAUGAGGCUGAGAACAAAAAGAACAAGAAAUCAAGUUGGGGUGACUCCCAAGGCCGCCACGUUAGCUGGAAAGACCCGGUUUCAUCAAAUGACCUUCCCCCUAAAAAUUCAGCUACCAAACUGGCAAUCAGGCAGAGAGAUUCUUCUCCUGUAACCCCUUUUUCCACUUACUAUGAGUCAUCACAGCAACCUGACAGGAAGUGCCUCUUGCUCGACAGGAAAUCUGGCAGCCCAUCAGUGUUGCGUAAGUUUGGUGCCAUGUUGCAGGAGAAUGAGGGAAAAACCUUGAUAGAGGAUGGUCUUGUAACCAUCGUUGUCUCCUCUGAACCUCCGAGGCAAACCAGCACUCCCAUUUGCCAGAGCAAGUUUGACGCUAGGCGGGCAUCUUCACACGUCCAGAAAUGCCUUGCAGACUGUGAUGUACUGAUAGCAGAUCUGGAGCAGAGACAAGAGUCUUGGGCAGCUGGUCCUUCUAGACACCUCCUCAAUGGAGACAGAGACAGUGGGAGGGGUGGUUGUGUUCUUGAACAGCAUGGCUUGGCCUAUAACUUAAGCCAGUCACAGACUCACCUUAAUUCGGGGUAUCACAAGUUGGCUUCAAUGUCUAAAGCCCACAAAGCGAGCUUCCAGAGUAAGGACCUAUUCUCUGACUGCCAGAUGGUAGAAACAAUUCUGGGAGUAGGAUCUCAAAACUUCAAUAAGGUACACAGAGGACUUGGUGUUGAUAUGAUGAGACUGGGAAAUGACAACUUGGAGCAACUUCUGGAAAUGAUGGAAAGAGAAAACAACAGAAGUCAGAGGGCCACAUUCACCCAGCAACUGGACAACAAGCAGGUCAACCGUGAGUCAUCUCCUGCGCCCAGCAGUAGCCAUUUUUCUCGUCCUGCUCGACCAGCCAAUCAACGCCGUCCAUCCAGAUGGGUUAAGCAUACUCACCCAAGCAAAAUCGCAGACACAUCCAUCCCAACAAGCCCUGGCCUGAAUGCCAAACAAUUCUUGAAUUCAUAUUUCCGGCACACAGAAACUGUCAUCAUGUAAUCAUGAUACAACAAGCUUCAAAGGACACUUUCACCCAAUGGCAUAAACUAAACUUUGACCUUUUGUAGAACACAAUCUACUUUUUUGUAUAUAUAACCAACACCACCACAUCAGCGUAUCUUAUUGCAGCCUGCUAGAAUGGACUAUGGUAUUUUCCUUAAAUGACUUCAAAAGGAUAAUGCUUUCAUUUAACUCUGUGCUGUAUGAAGUGCUUUGGAAAGAAACUCCAGUGGACAUUCUCUGACCUGGUGAAUUUCUGUGCCUAUGAACCCUUCAUUGCCUUUUCUCUUCAUUUCUUUCUGUCAUUCUCAUUAAAUUUUCUAUUCUUUUAUUGUUUUUUAUUUU